GACGAACGCUGGCGGCGUGCUUAACACAUGCAAGUCGAGCGGUAAGGCCCUUUCGGGGUACGACGAGCGGCGAACGGGUAGGAGUAACAACGUGGGUGGACCUCGCCCUCCAGCUCUGGGAGUAAGCCUGGGAAACGUAGGGUCGUAAUACUGGAUAUGACUCCACGGUGCAUGUCGUGGGGUGGAAAGCCUUGUGCGGCUGAGGAUGGGCCCGCGGCCUAUCAGCUUGUUGGGGGGGUGA
This 241-nucleotide ribosomal RNA is filed under the name uncultured bacterium. Its description in RNAcentral is "partial 16S ribosomal RNA". It matches the Rfam family "Bacterial small subunit ribosomal RNA", at positions 28 to 260 of the family's 1533-position model. The record is from RNAcentral.